GCCCCCUUAACUCAGAUGGCUAGAGUGCCGCACUUGUAAUGCGGAUGUCAGGUGUUCGACUCACCUAGGGGGCU
RNAcentral lists this transfer RNA (74 nucleotides) under Actinomycetota bacterium. RNAcentral describes it as "Actinobacteria bacterium tRNA-Thr". It matches the Rfam family "tRNA". Rfam says of the family: Transfer RNA (tRNA) molecules are approximately 80 nucleotides in length. Their secondary structure includes four short double-helical elements and three loops (D, anti-codon, and T loops). Further hydrogen bonds mediate the characteristic L-shaped molecular structure. tRNAs have two regions of fundamental functional importance: the anti-codon, which is responsible for specific mRNA codon recognition, and the 3' end, to which the tRNAs corresponding amino acid is attached (by aminoacyl-tRNA synthetases). tRNAs cope with the degeneracy of the genetic code in two manners: having more than one tRNA (with a specific anti-codon) for a particular amino acid; and 'wobble' base-pairing, i.e. permitting non-standard base-pairing at the 3rd anti-codon position. Lineage: Bacteria; Bacillati; Actinomycetota. The record is from RNAcentral.